GACGAACGCUGGCGGCGUGCUUAACACAUGCCAGUCGAACGAAAAGGCCCUGCGUUUGCUUGGUUCUCGAUUGGCGAACGGGUGAGUAACACGUGUGUAAACUGCCCUUGACUUUGUGAUAACUUCAGGAAACUCGGGCUCAUACCCGAUAGAAGCUCCUGCUGCAUAGGGGGGGUUGGUAAGUUUCGGCGGUUGGGGAUGGACUCGCAGCAUAUCAGCUUGUUUGUGAGGUAGGUACUUUCCAGGGCUAUGACGGGUAGCCGGCCUGAGAGGGUGACCGGCCACAAUACGACUGCGAUACGGCGCAGACUCCAACGGGCCGCAACAGUGGAGAGUAUUACACAGUAGCCGGAAGCCAGAUGUAGCGACGCCGCGUGCGGGAUGAUGGCCUACGAGUUGUAAACCGAUUUCUCAGUUGCCGAGCAGAGAGUGACGGUAAUGGGUCAAGAAGCCACGGCUAACUACGUG
RNAcentral lists this ribosomal RNA (468 nucleotides) under uncultured bacterium. Its description in RNAcentral is "partial 16S ribosomal RNA". It matches the Rfam family "Bacterial small subunit ribosomal RNA", at positions 28 to 507 of the family's 1533-position model. The record is from RNAcentral.